AGUGAACGCUGGCGGUAGGCCUAACACAUGCAAGUCGAACGGCAGCACAGUAAGAGCUUGCUCUUACGGGUGGCGAGUGGCGGACGGGUGAGGAAUACAUCGGAAUCUACUUUUUCGUGGGGGAUAACGUAGGGAAACUUACGCUAAUACCGCAUACGACCUACGGGUGAAAGCAGGGGAUCUUCGGACCUUGCGCGAUUGAAUGAGCCGAUGUCGGAUUAGCUAGUUGGCGGGGUAAAGGCCCACCAAGGCGACAAUCCGUAGCUGGUCUGAGAGGAUGAUGAGCCACCGAGAGACUGAGACGCGGCCCAGACUCGGACGGGAGGCAGAAGGGGGGAAUAUUGGACGAUGGGGGGAAGCCUGAUCCAGCCAUACCGCGGGGGUGCAGAAGGCCUUCGGGUUGUAAAGCCCUUUUGUUGGGAAAGAAAAGCAGCAGGUUAGUACUGCGGUGUUCUGACGGUAGCCAAAGAAUAAGCACCGGCUAACUACGUG
RNAcentral lists this ribosomal RNA (492 nucleotides) under uncultured bacterium. Its description in RNAcentral is "partial 16S ribosomal RNA". It matches the Rfam family "Bacterial small subunit ribosomal RNA", at positions 29 to 507 of the family's 1533-position model. The record is from RNAcentral.